UUCAAUAAACUUUAUAAGUGGUAAUAUUAGCAUACUUUAAGCUCACAGGCAGUGCCUGUUUAGUAGAUGUGAAUGCCUAACAGUUAAUUUUAAUACCCCAACAGCAAAAGUCAGUUAUAUAAUUUCCGUCACAAAUAGAUGACAGUAAAAUAGGGAGUUUGAUAGUUUCCUGUAGACAAUCUGUUUAGAAAUAAAAAAAAUCAUUGUUCUAAAUACAUCCAAAAGAAAGUUGUCUGAUUUUCUCUUUUUUUCUAAAUCAUCUGUUUAAUUGUACUGUAUUCUCUAGGUUUUAAAAAUACUUGUCCCUGUGAAUUUUGCAUGAAGUUUGCCAAUUUUGUAUGGAAAUAAGAAAUCUUGUUAUUUUUAUAGUCACCUGGAAAACUUCUGUCUUGAAGUUUGUUUUUUUUUUUUUAAUACUUUUGUCACCACAUGAUAUCAAUUCAGUACUUUUAAUAAAUUAGACCAUUUCUGACUUACAAGAAUAGAAACUUUCAUGAGACUGGAACAACUGGCUAGGGUUAACCAUGCACCCACUUUCCCUUAGGCUGGAUAAGGAUAAGAAAAUACUGUGCUUGCAUUCUGCAAUCCAAAGACUACAUUUUUGAAGGCAUGAUUACUGAAUAGAAGUGUUUACUUAGCUGAGUUCUGCUUUGUUAAGGAUACAACUGUCUCAUUUGUUUAGCAAAGGGUUAAAUAGAAACUAAUCCUUUACGCUUACUUUGAAAGGUGGUUAUCUUUCCAGCAGGAGAGACCAUUGUUUGUUUUGCCAGACACUGUAAUUGUUCCUUAAGCCAUCAUGCUCUCUAAAAGAAUAAACUUAUUAGAAAGAGAAAAAAUAUCAUUGGCAUAAGCAUUGUCUUUAAAAGGUUCAAAAAAAAAAAAAAAAAGGAAGUGCUUUCAUUUAUAUCUAACUAGUAUAGGCAUUUUGUAUGAUGUAAGCUCUAUUAAAGCUUUUUGUGGAGAGAUUAUUUUUUGUGUGACGAGUGUUCUAGUAGAGGUAUCAUAGGUUAUGGGAAACAGAAUAGUAGUAUGUUUGCCUCAAGUUAAUUACAUUUAUUCAGAUGAAAUACUACUGUACUCUUCAGGACAAGCAGAGAGAAUACCAAAACCUUUUUUAGCCAGCAUUUAUCUGUUUCAAUUAUUUUUGACAGUGUGUGUUGCAUGUGUGCUUUAGCUACAGUGCCUUUAUAUCGACAGUUGGUAGCACAAGCCUUUUAAAGCACAAAGGGUAGCAGUACUUCAGCCAAUCUGUGAUAAAAGGGGAAAAAAAUGAAAUCACUAUGGAAACUGCAGGAAGAAUCUAAAAGCUUUCUUUAUAAAGUAAACGUCUGAUGUUUGUGACUGCGGGGGCAAAAAAUUCAUAAAUCUGUACGAUGCUAUCAUUUCUGAUUUGUUAUCGCAGCAAAUGCCAAGUCUGAGCAGUCUGACCUUAGCCUUAUUAAGUGCUUUCUUUUCAGAUACAGUUGUUAUUCGACAAUAGAGAGACUGUAGUGCUGCAAGGGGGAAACUAAUAUAUUUAAAAUGCAUGUGUGUGUCUGUGUGCGCCUGUGUGCGUGUAUAUAUAUAACUAUCCAUCUUCUUUUCCCUGUGAAGCUUAUGGAGUUGGGAACGCUGAAUGUGGGAACUCAGGGACUACUAUUCUGAGCACAAUUGAGAAAACUAUGUUUCGUCCCAUUGCAUGCGUCUGUCUUUGAUCUCAAAUUGAAAAUCUCUGAGCCUCUUCCUCCAAUCCAAAAGCAAAUAAAUACGGAGAGAAAGAAACCUCUCCUCUCAGCACAUAGGGCCUCCGCGACUGAAAAAUGAAGGUGGCUGUAAGAGCUCUCUGAUGAACCUGUUUGGACAACAGACAGCAAAAAAUACCUGUCUCAGCGGAGCAGUUUAAGAACACUGCAGAGAUACUCAGACAGUACAGAAUAUCUUGGCUCACACAGGCCACUCUCUUUAUCUCAAAACAAUACCAGCCAAGCUCCUCUGUACCUACAACUGAAGAGCUGCAGGAACAGCAAGACAGUAACUAAAACAGCUUUUAAAUUUCAAUCUCCUUAUUUUAUUAAAACAAAUAAAACAGGAAAAAAAAAAACAGAGAAAAACCCCUAACAAAACACCAAAAAGAAAAAAGACAUGCGUUCUAAGCAAGAUAAAGUAUCUGAUUCCAAAGAAGAAAACUAUCCAUGGCAGGUUAAAGCUACAGGGGAAGUCCUGACUGGUUUUUCUUCAUCCAGCUACUUUACUUACAGCUUUUUGAAACCAGCAAUUCCUGUGGAUCAGGAGGUAGGUCCAAAUCCAUAUAAUCCUAUGAAAACAAUUGCUAAAUAUAAAUUCCUGCUAACAAGUGAAUUGUCAAACUGGAAUAUCUGUAAUGUAGUCUGGCUACUUAAACCAGUGUUCUUAAAGAACCAAGGGGAACAAUUCUAUUAAUGUUCAUCACAUUUAGGGGGGUGGGGGUGUUUUUUUGAGGGGUUGGGAUAUUUUUUGUGGGUUUUCUUUGUUUGCUUUAAUAAGGAAAUACCUUGUUCUCUUUAUCCUAUUUAACUCUUGUCUUGAUAUGGAAGUGGGUACAAGAUUAAUUUAGAAAGUGAACUUUUUCAAAAGAGAUGGUUUAAUUUCUCAACCAUGUGAGAAUAUGCCUGUUGCUGUAAUUCAUGUACUACCAGUACUACCAGCUAGCUAGAUGCUGGGGGCUCACUGAGCCAUCACUGACCCUCCGCAGCAAGACUGUGCUGAGCAGGAGGGCUGCGGUGAGACUCUUCCUGCAUCCUGCAGGAGCCUGGCACUGAGCGUGGCAAAACUCUCUGGGGGGUAACACAGUGGAUGAUUGAUUGUACCCGCCAGCUGGCUAAUAUCAUAAUUAACAAAGUUGCUACCAUGUCUGAGAAGUUUAAUCGAAAAAAUUGCCGGCAGUAUGAUGCCAUUGUCACAGAGAUCACAAGCGCUGCAGUGUCAACUUUUGUACUGAUGGAGCCGCAGGACUAUGUAGAUGUGCUGAGAAGUCGUUCACUGGGAUCACUAAAGCGAGAUGUGAUUGCAGACAGCGCACAAUUGGGCUCUGGUAGAACUGGCCAGUAGCAACAGCCUUUGCUCUGCUCGUCACCACCGGAGCAGCUGUGCCACGGGAGCACAGAAUUUGGGAGCAGCUGCCUGCGAUGAGUCCUCACAUGCAGGAAUGUCAGCAGGAACGCAUGGAAGCACAUCAGCAAGGUUUAGCUGGGGGAUCACAUUGUGAAAUGUGCAGCCAUGAAAGGCCUUCCAUUUACUGCACCCUUCAAAACGAAAUAUUAGCAUGGGAGCUAAGCUGUGACUUAUGCAGAGUAUGUUGGAGUAGUGACUUCAAGUUAUGGUUCACAAGUAACUUCAGGACAGCAUGAAGAGAGCUGUCAAUAAGAAAUGGAGGCUAAUAACGAAGGAGUCAGUGAAGGAGACCAAUGCCAUGAGGGUUAUCUCGCAGCCCCAGAUGCUGGAUAAGUUGAAGGAGGCAGAAUCAGUUUUGGAUGACAUUCAGGAGGGCCUUGAAUGAUUAUUUGGCAAAGAAAAGACUAUUCUUUCCAAGGAUUUUUCUCUUGAUGCAACAGCAGUCUCUCAGGAAUCCUUUCUGAGAUAAAGGAUCCACUCCAAGUCCAACCACACUGAAGGAAAUGCUUUGAAGGAAUUGCCAAGCUCACUUUUAAUCACGAGAAAGAAAUUACCCACAUGGAGUCAGCAGAAAAUGAAAAAGUAGAACUCGUGCUGCGAAUAAUUCCAGCAAGUGCCAAGGGGCUAGUUGAGAAAUGGCUUCAUGAGGUGAAUAUCUUUAGCUCUUACUUAGGGUUUAGUUACUGUAUAAUCAUUUUCUCUUUUAGGAGCAAUGAAUAUCAUAAGCGUAUUUCCUGACUAAAUGGCUCUGUGAAUAUUUGUCAAGAUGUUGACAGAUUUCAGCCUUAUUGUUGUUAUUUAUUGCAACUAAUUUAGCAUCUGCAAACCUGCAGAAAUUAAUUCUAAUAAAAAGCUCUUAGAAUCAGGUUGUCAACAGAAGUGGAUCUGUGUCUGAAGCCAUAUAUGUGAAUAUAUGUUUGAGUCUACAUGUAUGUGUUUUUGUGCUUUUAUGGUGUAAUGUCUGUAGUUCAGGAGGAUAACAUUUAAAAAAUCAGAGAAAUGUAAGAUUUUAAAUGCCUCCCACCCUGCUGAAAGUGUGUCCCAUUGUCCUGGAGGGGUUUAAUUUCCAAUCAUUCUAACAAAAGGGAAGAGAAAUUAUGUCAGUGAUACCACCCUAACCUUUCCCCUUUGGGUCUCUCAUCCAAAUUCAUUGGUUUCAGUAUGAAAUUAGUUUGGUGACCUUCUUUUUGUUUGCUUUGUUUAACCUUCCUCUGCCAGUAGAUGGGAAAGGGCCCUUCCCUACUUUAUUUUUCUGGGCCAAAACCCUAUUUCCCUUCCCAUGUGCUCCUUUUUCUCCUGAGGCAGGAUCAGCCCCUGGAGCAUCAUUUCCCUUUUGUCUGCUGUUGUGGGUGCU
This is a long non-coding RNA of Neopsephotus bourkii (Bourke's parrot), 4483 nucleotides long. RefSeq lists it as uncharacterized. The record is from RefSeq and is a predicted model, not a curated record. NCBI's taxonomy places the organism in Eukaryota, Metazoa, Chordata, Aves, Psittaciformes, Psittacidae. The transcript is spliced from 9 exons.